UGCAUAAGCUUAAAGUUGAUGUAGACACUUGCAUUGCACCCAUGACAGCCAAGGGAGAGGAUAUAAAAGCAAACCCAAGCCUCCCUUCGAAUCCAUCCACUCCUGCCUCUCCACUUCAGAACAGACCAGCCCUAGGAAGGGUUGGUGAGAUCCAAACUUCUAGUUUGCUUUUCAUGGCUGCCAUCUACUUUCUCCCCUUCUCCUCCACUUGUUUUUAGAGUUCUAGGCCACAAAUCUCUCCCUUACCUCCUAUCUGUGAUGUUCUUCCUCUGCUAAGCACUGAUUAGCUGAACUGCAAAUCCCAGUGUCGAUCAAGCACACAGCAAGAUGAGCAGCAAUACAGCUGUUUUAGCCGGGAGUAAUUUUGACAUUACUCAAGAGGUAUAAUUCCAGUGUGCUGCAACAGUAUGAUGGUACAAUCCAAAUCAAAUUAAUGUAAAUGUAAGUUUUGCAAUAUAUCUUUUUAUAGACAACCAAAUGUAGACAAACUGUUGGAGAUGCUUAGGAGUUAGCAUCCACCAUUCAUACGAGCAAUAUGGCAUCUGUUGAAGCAAAGGUUCGUUUUGGUGCUGGCACAUGUCUUAAGUACUUUUGUGGAUAGUUGGAGUCUUGGAUUUGAGUUA
Molecule: long non-coding RNA, 623 nt
Organism: Brachypodium distachyon (stiff brome)
Lineage: Eukaryota; Viridiplantae; Streptophyta; Magnoliopsida; Poales; Poaceae
Exons: 2
Source: RefSeq, a predicted model, not a curated record